Molecule: ribosomal RNA, 1316 nt
Filed under: uncultured bacterium
Lineage: Bacteria
Description: bacterial SSU rRNA
Rfam family: Bacterial small subunit ribosomal RNA
Source: RNAcentral
AACGAACGCUUGCUGCAUGCUUUAUACAUGCAAGUCGAACGAAGGCCCUAGCUUGCUAGGUGUCCUUAGUGGCGCACGGGUGAGUAACACGUGGGAACAUACCUCAUAGUACGGAAUAACUGCGGGAAACUGUAGCUAAUACCGUAUAUUCCAGUAAUGGGAAAGAUUUAUCGCUAUGAGAUUGGCCCGCGCAAGAUUAGUUUGUUGGUAAGGUAAUGGCUUACCAAGGCUACGAUCUUUAGCUGGUUUGAGAGGAUGAUCAGCCACACUGGGACUGAGACACGGCCCAGACUCCUACGGGAGGCAGCAGUAGGGAAUAUUGGACAAUGGGGGAAACCCUGAUCCAGCAAUGCAGCGUGAGUGACGAAGGCCUUAGGGUUGUAAAACUCUUUCAUCGGUGAGGAUAAUGACAGUAACCGAAGAAGAAGGACCGGCUAAUUCCGUGCCAGCAGCCGCGGUAAUACGGAAGGUCCUAGCGUUGUUCGGAAUUACUGGGCGUAAAGCGCAUGUAGGCGGAACAGAAAGUUAGAAGUGAAAUCCCUGGGCUCAACCUAGGAAUUGCUUUUAAAACUUCUGUUCUGGAAUUAAGGAGAGGAAAAUGGAAUAUCCAGUGUAGAGGUGAAAUUCGUAGAUAUUGGAUGGAACACCAGUGGCGAAGGCGAUUUUCUGGACUUAUAUUGACGCUGAGAUGCGAAGGCAUGGGUAGCAAACGGGAUUAGAUACCCCGGUAGUCCAUGCAGUAAACGAUGGGUGCUAGUCGUCGGACUUAUGUUCGGUGUCGUAGCUAACGCGUUAAGCACCCCGCCUGGGGAGUACGGUCGCAAGAUUAAAACUCAAAUAAAUUGACGGGGACCCGCACAAGCAGUGGAGCAUGUGGUUUAAUUCGACGCAACGCGAAGAACCUUACCAGCUUUUGACAUGGGAAGUACCGGUUACAGAAUGGUAACCUUCAGUUCGGCUGGCUUCCACACAGGUGCUGCAUGGCUGUCGUCAGCUCGUGUCGUGAGAUGUUGGGUUAAGUCCCGCAACGAGCGCAACCCUUAUCGUUAGUUACUAACAGUUCGGCUGAGGACUCUAGCGAAACUGCCGGUGAUAAGCCGGAGGAAGGUGGGGAUGACGUCAAGUCCUCAUGGCCCUUACACGCUGGGCUACACACGUGCUACAAUGGUAACUACAACGGGACGCGAUACCGCGAGGUGGAGCAAAUCCCCAAAAGUUAUCUCAGUUCGGAUUGCACUCUGCAACUCGAGUGCAUGAAGUUGGAAUUGCUAGUAAUCGCGGAUCAGCAUGCCGCGGUGAAAUACGUUCCCGGGUCU